RNAcentral lists this non-coding RNA (23 nucleotides) under Arabidopsis thaliana (thale cress). The record is from RNAcentral. Lineage: Eukaryota; Viridiplantae; Streptophyta; Magnoliopsida; Brassicales; Brassicaceae.
CACAAUUCCUCACGCUUACUAAC